Molecule: long non-coding RNA, 514 nt
Filed under: Homo sapiens (human)
Lineage: Eukaryota; Metazoa; Chordata; Mammalia; Primates; Hominidae
Description: non-protein coding MIR4435-2HG:6
Source: RNAcentral
GAAGGCUGAGGUGUGCGCCUUUUUUUUUUUUCCUUCUUAGUCGUGUGUACAUCAUUGGGAAUGGAGGGAAAUAAAUGACUGGAUGGUCGCUGCUUUUUAAGUUUCAAAUUGACAUUCCAGACAAGCGGUGCCUGAGCCCGUGCCUGUCUUCAGAUCUUCACAGCACAGUUCCUGGGAAGGUGGAGCCACCAGCCUCUCCCUGAAUAACUGGGAGAUGAAACAGGAAGCUCUAUGACACACUUGAUCGAAUAUGACAGACACUGAAAAUCACGACUCAUCCCCCUCCAGCACCUCUACCUGUUGCCCGCCGAUCACAGCCGGAAUGCAGCUGAAAGAUUCCCUGGGGCCUGGUUCCAACUGCCCACUGUGGACUCUGAGGCCUCUGCAUUUGCGGGUGGUCUGCCUGUGAUAUUUUGGUCAUGGGCUGGUCUGGUCGGUUUCCCAUUUGUCUGGCCAGUCUCUGUGUGUCUUAAUCCCUUGUCCUUCAUUAAAAGCAAAACUAAAGAAAACAGAA